RNAcentral lists this ribosomal RNA (565 nucleotides) under uncultured Glomus. Its description in RNAcentral is "SSU rRNA". It matches the Rfam family "Eukaryotic small subunit ribosomal RNA", at positions 534 to 1105 of the family's 1831-position model. Lineage: Eukaryota; Fungi; Glomeromycota; Glomeromycetes; Glomerales; Glomeraceae. The record is from RNAcentral.
AAUUCGAUUUUGGAGGGCAAGUCUGGUGCCAGCAGCCGCGGUAAUUCCAGCUCCAAUAGCGUAUAUUAAAGUUGUUGCAGUUAAAAAGCUCGUAGUUGAAUUUCGGGAUCAAUAUGUCGGUCGUGCCUCGGUACGUACUGGCAUCAUUGGUUUCUCCCUUCUGAUGAACCAUUAUGCCAUUAAUUUGGUGUCGUGGGGAAUCAGGACUGUUACUUUGAAAAAAUUAGAGUGUUUAAAGCAGGCUCACGCUUGAAUACAUUAGCAUGGAAUAAUGAAAUAGGACGUUUGAUUCUAUUUUGUUGGUUUCUAGGAUCGACGUAAUGAUUAAUAGGGAUAGUUGGGGGCAUUAGUAUUCAAUUGUCAGAGGUGAAAUUCUUGGAUUUAUUGAAGACUAACUACUGCGAAAGCAUUUGCCAAGGAUGUUUUCAUUAAUCAAGAACGAAAGUUAGGGGAUCGAAGACGAUCAGAUACCGUCGUAGUCUUAACCAUAAACUAUGCCGACUAGGGAUCGGAUGAUGUUAAUUUUUUAAUGACUCAUUCGGCGCCUUACGGGAAAUCACUAGUG